UAGAUAGAGACAAGGUGGAAGUCGGU
RNAcentral lists this non-coding RNA (26 nucleotides) under Mus musculus (house mouse). The record is from RNAcentral. Lineage: Eukaryota; Metazoa; Chordata; Mammalia; Rodentia; Muridae.